GACGAACGCUGGCGGCGUGCUUAACACAUGCAAGUCGAACGGUAAGGCCCUUCGGGGUACACGAGUGGCGAACGGGUGAGUAACACGUGGGUGAUCUGCCCUGCACUUCGGGAUAAGCCUGGGAAACUGGGUCUAAUACCGGAUAGGACUCCUGGCUUCAUGGUUGGGGGUGGAAAGCUUUUGCGGUGUGGGAUGGGCCCGCGGCCUAUCAGCUUGUUGGUGGGGUAAUGGCCUACCAGGGCGACGACGGGUAGCCGGCCUGAGAGGGUGACCGGUCACACUGGGACUGAGAUACGGCCCAGAGUCCUACGGGAGGCAGGAGUGGGGAAUAUUGCACAAUGGGCGCAAGCCUGAUGCAGCGACGCCGCGUGAGGGAUGACGGCCUUCGGGUUGUAAACCUCUUUCAGCUAUGACGAAGCGCAAGUGACGGUAGUAGCAGAAGAAGGACCGGCCAACUACGUGCCAGCCGCCGCAGUAA
This 478-nucleotide ribosomal RNA is filed under the name uncultured bacterium. Its description in RNAcentral is "partial 16S ribosomal RNA". It matches the Rfam family "Bacterial small subunit ribosomal RNA", at positions 28 to 523 of the family's 1533-position model. The record is from RNAcentral.